AGGGCAAGUCUGGUGCCAGCAGCCGCGGUAAUUCCAGCUCCAAUAGCGUAUAUUAAAGUUGUUGCAGUUAAAAAGCUCGUAGUUGAAUUUCGGGGUUAGUAGGUUGGUCAUGCCUCAGGUAUGUACUGAUCUCACUGAUUCCUCCUUCCUGAUGAACCGUAAUGCCAUUAAUUUGGUGUUGCGGGGAAACUGGACUGUUACUUUGAAAAAAUUAGAGUGUUUAAAGCAGGCUAACGCUUGAAUACAUUAGCGUGGAAUAAUGAAAUAGGACGUUCGAUCCUAUUUUGUUGGUUUCUAGGAUUGACGUAAUGAUUAAUAGGGAUAGUUGGGGGCAUUAGUAUUCAAUUGUCAGAGGUGAAAUUCUUGGAUUUAUUGAAGACUAACUACUGCGAAAGCAUUUGCCAAGGAUGUUUUCAUUAAUCAAGAACGAAAGUUAGGGGAUCGAAGACGAUCAGAUACCGUCGUAGUCUUAGCCAUAAACUAUGCCGACUAGGGAUCGGAUGAUGUUAAUUUUUUAAUAACUCAUUCGGCGCCUUACGGGAA
Molecule: ribosomal RNA, 543 nt
Filed under: uncultured Glomeromycotina
Lineage: Eukaryota; Fungi; Glomeromycota
Description: SSU rRNA
Rfam family: Eukaryotic small subunit ribosomal RNA
Source: RNAcentral